CCCCGUGACCAUAUCGAGGGGGUUACACCCGUUCCCAUUCCGAAUACGGUCGUUAAGCCCCUCAGAGCCGAUGGUACUGCGCUGGUGACGGUGUGGGAGAGUAGGACGUUGCGGGGA
Molecule: ribosomal RNA, 117 nt
Filed under: bacterium
Lineage: Bacteria
Source: RNAcentral